This 270-nucleotide ribosomal RNA is filed under the name uncultured prokaryote. RNAcentral describes it as "partial 16S ribosomal RNA". It matches the Rfam family "Bacterial small subunit ribosomal RNA", at positions 524 to 792 of the family's 1533-position model. The record is from RNAcentral.
CACGUAGGGGGCGAACGUUGUCCGGAUUUAUUGGGCGUAAAGGGCUCGUAGGCGGUUUAGUAAGUCGGUCGUGAAAGCCCGGGGCUCAACCCCGGGACGCCGGUCGAAACUGCUAUGACUAGGGUCCGGUAGAGGUGAGUGGAAUUCUCGGUGUAGCGGUGAAAUGCGCAGAUAUCGAGAGGAACACCAGUAGCGAAGGCGGCUCACUGGGCCGGUACCGACGCUGAGGAGCGAAAGCGUGGGGAGCAAACAGGAUUAGAUACCCCCGUA